GCAGUCGAGCGGUAGCACAGAGAGCUUGCUCUCGGGUGACGAGCGGCGGACGGGUGAGUAAUGUCUGGGAAACUGCCUGAUGGAGGGGGAUAACUACUGGAAACGGUAGCUAAUACCGCAUAACGUCGCAAGACCAAAGUGGGGGACCUUCGGGCCUCAUGCCAUCAGAUGUGCCCAGAUGGGAUUAGCUGGUAGGUGGGGUAACGGCUCACCUAGGCGACGAUCCCUAGCUGGUCUGAGAGGAUGACCAGCCACACUGGAACUGAGACACGGUCCAGACUCCUACGGGAGGCAGCAGUGGGGAAUAUUGCACAAUGGGCGCAAGCCUGAUGCAGCCAUGCCGCGUGUGUGAAGAAGGCCUUCGGGUUGUAAAGCACUUUCAGCGGGGAGGAAGGCGGUGAGGUUAAUAACCUCAUCGAUUGACGUUACCCGCAGAAGAAGCACCGGCUAACUCCGUGCCAGCAGCCGCGGUAAUACGGAGGGUGCAAGCGUUAAUCGGAAUUACUGGGCGUAAAGCGCACGCAGGCGGUCUGUCAAGUCGGAUGUGAAAUCCCCGGGCUCAACCUGGGAACUGCAUUCGAAACUGGCAGGCUAGAGUCUUGUAGAGGGGGGUAGAAUUCCAGGUGUAGCGGUGAAAUGCGUAGAGAUCUGGAGGAAUACCGGUGGCGAAGGCGGCCCCCUGGACAAAGACUGACGCUCAGGUGCGAAAGCGUGGGGAGCAAACAGGAUUAGAUACCCUGGUAGUCCACGCCGUAAACGAUGUCGAUUUGGAGGUUGUGCCCUUGAGGCGUGGCUUCCGGAGCUAACGCGUUAAAUCGACCGCCUGGGGAGUACGGCCGCAAGGUUAAAACUCAAAUGAAUUGACGGGGGCCCGCACAAGCGGUGGAGCAUGUGGUUUAAUUCGAUGCAACGCGAAGAACCUUACCUGGUCUUGACAUCCACAGAACUUAGCAGAGAUGCUUUGGUGCCUUCGGGAACUGUGAGACAGGUGCUGCAUGGCUGUCGUCAGCUCGUGUUGUGAAAUGUUGGGUUAAGUCCCGCAACGAGCGCAACCCUUAUCCUUUGUUGCCAGCGGUCCGGCCGGGAACUCAAAGGAGACUGCCAGUGAUAAACUGGAGGAAGGUGGGGAUGACGUCAAGUCAUCAUGGCCCUUACGACCAGGGCUACACACGUGCUACAAUGGCAUAUACAAAGAGAAGCGACCUCGCGAGAGCAAGCGGACCUCAUAAAGUAUGUCGUAGUCCGGAUUGGAGUCUGCAACUCGACUCCAUGAAGUCGGAAUCGCUAGUAAUCGUAGAUCAGAAUGCUACGGUGAAUACGUUCCCGGGCCUUGUACACACCGCCCGUCACACCAUGGGAGUGGGUUGCAAAAGAAGUAGGUAGCUUAACCUUCGGGA
Molecule: ribosomal RNA, 1397 nt
Filed under: Klebsiella pneumoniae
Lineage: Bacteria; Pseudomonadati; Pseudomonadota; Gammaproteobacteria; Enterobacterales; Enterobacteriaceae
Description: bacterial SSU rRNA
Rfam family: Bacterial small subunit ribosomal RNA
Source: RNAcentral